ACGGCGAGUGAAGCGGCAAGAGCUCAAAUUUGAAAGCUGGCUCCUUCGGGGCCCGCAUUGUAAUUUGCAGAGGAUGCUUCGGGAGCGGUCCCCAUCUAAGUUCCCUGGAACGGGACGUCAUAGAGGGUGAGAAUCCCGUAUGGGAUGGGGUGUCCGCGCCCGUGUGAAGCUCCUUCGACGAGUCGAGUUGUUUGGGAAUGCAGCUCUAAAUGGGUGGUAAAUUUCAUCUAAAGCUAAAUAUUGGCCGGAGACCGAUAGCGCACAAGUAGAGUGAUCGAAAGAUGAAAAGCACUUUGAAAAGAGAGUUAAAAAGCACGUGAAAUUGUUGAAAGGGAAGCGCUUGCGACCAGACUCGCUCGCGGGGUUCAGCCGGCAUUCGUGCCGGUGUACUUCCCCGCGGGCGGGCCAGCGUCGGUUUGGGCGGUCGGUCAAAGGCCCUCGGAAGGUAACGCCCCCUCGGGGGCGUCUUAUAGCCGAGGGUGCAAUGCGACCUGCCCGGACCGAGGAACGCGCUUCGGCUCGGACGC
RNAcentral lists this ribosomal RNA (527 nucleotides) under Penicillium egyptiacum. RNAcentral's name for it is "eukaryotic LSU rRNA". It matches the Rfam family "Eukaryotic large subunit ribosomal RNA", at positions 86 to 626 of the family's 3401-position model. Lineage: Eukaryota; Fungi; Ascomycota; Eurotiomycetes; Eurotiales; Aspergillaceae. The record is from RNAcentral.